GUUUGUUUUAGGGAGAGAGAGAGAGAGAGAGAGAGAGAGAGAGAGAGAGAGAUCGGGGGACCGUACCGGAUCCAAAGCGAAACGCAGCCAAGCUGCGAGAAAUCCAUGGACGGCAGCUCAGAUCCCGCGCCGGCCCGACCAAGCCCUCGACCGGAGCGCACCACGGGCACCAGCAGCCUGCACGGCCGCGGACGCCUCCCGCACCGGCGGCAGCCCCGAGGGGCCUCCGAGCCGAUGCGCGAGCCGGCGCGGCGGGAGGGGCUGGCCCCGAUGAGCGGCGGCCCGGCGCGUCCGCCGCUCGGGAGCCUGGCCGGUGGCCUCUCGCAGCCGGACUGGUCCGAGGGUUCGGCCCCGGCGGGAGAAGAGAUCCGGGUCCGGAUGGAUCUCCGGUCCAGAUCCGGGUUCAGGUCCGGCUGUAGAUGCUGCAAAUAAUAAGGACCAGAGAAGGGGUCAUUUAGCAAAAA
Molecule: long non-coding RNA, 464 nt
Organism: Triticum aestivum (bread wheat)
Lineage: Eukaryota; Viridiplantae; Streptophyta; Magnoliopsida; Poales; Poaceae
Exons: 2
Source: RefSeq, a predicted model, not a curated record